CCUACGGGUGGCUGCAGUGAGGAAUAUUGGUCAAUGGGCUUACGCCUGAACCAGCCAAGUCGCGUGAGGGAAGACUGCCCUAUGGGUUGUAAACCUCUUUUGUCAGGGAGCAACGCCGGCUACGUGUAGCCGGACUGAGAGUACCUGAAGAAAAAGCAUCGGCUAACUCCGUGCCAGCAGCCGCGGUAAUACGGAGGAUGCGAGCGUUAUCCGGAUUUAUUGGGUUUAAAGGGUGCGUAGGCGGAAUGCCAAGUCAGCGGUAAAAUCGCGGGGCUCAACCGUAAAAUUGCAGUUGAAACUGGCAGUCUUGAGUACAGUAGAGGUGGGCGGAAUUCGUGGUGUAGCGGUGAAAUGCUUAGAUAUCACGAAGAACUCCGAUUGCGAAGGCAGUUCACUGGACUGCAACUGACACUGAGGCUCGAAAGUGUGGGUAUCAAACAGGAUUAGAUACCCGUGUAGUC
RNAcentral lists this ribosomal RNA (461 nucleotides) under uncultured bacterium. RNAcentral describes it as "partial 16S ribosomal RNA". It matches the Rfam family "Bacterial small subunit ribosomal RNA", at positions 338 to 795 of the family's 1533-position model. The record is from RNAcentral.